CCAAGAAGCAAUGUAAAGUUUGAAACGAGCCGAGCGCGGUGGCUCACGCCUGUAAUCCCAGCACUUUGGGAGGCCGAGGCUGGCGAAUCAUUUGAGACACAGGGUCUCACUGUGUUGGCCAGGCUGGAGUGCGGCAGUCUGGAACUCCUGGGCCCAAGUGAUCCUCCAAUCAGCCUCACAAAGCACUGGAAUUACAGGUAGCUCAGAGAGCUGCGCUGGAGGAGAAAAGCCAGUCCUGGCAGGAGCUCUGGUACCUGGGAAGCUGGAUGGAGAGCCUGGGCCAGAAUCCCGGACCCCUCACCUCUGCGGCCUAGCUUUGUGACCUUGGCAAAUCCAUUCUAUGCACCUCCAUUUCCUGUACAGUGGGGAUCCUUAUUUCUCUGGCACAGAUUGGUAUUUGUUCUGUAAAGCCCAGUACCACUUUAUUUUAUUUUAGUUAUUGAUUUUUUUGAGACAGGGCCUCACUCUGUUGCCAAGGCUGGAAUGCAGUGGCGAGAUCAUAGCUCACUGCAGCCUCAAACUCCUGGGCUCAGGCCAUCCUCCUGCCUCGGCCUCCUGAGUAGCUGGGACGACAGGCGUGCACCACUGCGCCUAGCUCCAGUACCAUGUUUAAACGGUGCUCAGAAAACGUGCUAAACUUGGUGGAUGGGAAUUGAAAAGAGAUUUAAUGUUUUAAAAAUCAAAGUCACUCAGCUGCAGUGCCACAUGGGAAGGAGGCCUGGAUGUGAAUGUUCCUGGGAGCUGAGAGCUCCUGUGACUGUCGCCAGUUUCCUGUGGUCUCCCACAGACUCAGGACAUCUCCCUCUGCUCCAGGACACCUCAGGACCACCAGAGGGCACUCAUCGCACCUUCACCCCUGGAAGGGAGCUGGUCCUGGGGCCAAAACCCACUGUGCCUGGGAAGCCCUUCCUGGCUUCUGCUCUCCUCAAUGUAUGACAGCCCUGAUUUACCCCCAGGGACUGUUGCCACUCGGGGUUGUAGAGUAAUAUGUAACCAGACUGGAGAACCACAGCAAUGCUCUCUCCUCUGCCCAUCACCUCCCCUUGGCCCCUCCCUCUUCAUCAGCCCCAUUUUGGAGAAGGGAGAAAGAAGGGAGAGGCAGCAGUCUCCUCCCAGGUGGGGCCGGACUCCAGGGAAGGAGAAUUUUCAGAAGUUGCUGGAGUUGCCGAAUCUGUCAGGGCCCAGGGUUCACAGAGCAGUGAUGGAGGAGAAAGGAGAGGAAGCAGAUCUAAGCACACAUGGGCAUCAAACCAGAGGAACAAAGUCACAUGCAGAGGGCUGCACAUAGACACAGGGAAACACACACACGGAGAUGCACAGAAACACGCAGACCCCAUGCAGGGACCUGCUUUCCCGCCACAGAGGAAAGCAAUCUGAUCAAACAGACCCACUGUGCACCCAGCCCUCCAUGCUUGGGGACAACACACCUACAAAAAUAUAAGAAAAAAAAGGAAA
This 1455-nucleotide long non-coding RNA is filed under the name Homo sapiens (human). RNAcentral describes it as "HSALNT0290029". The record is from RNAcentral. Lineage: Eukaryota; Metazoa; Chordata; Mammalia; Primates; Hominidae.